CCUACGGGGGGCAGCAGUGGGGAAUAUUGGACAAUGGGGGGAACCCUGAUCCAGCCAUGCCGCGUGUGUGAAGAAGGCCCUCGGGUUGUAAAGCACUUUCAGUGAGGAAGAACGCCUGGUGGUUAAUACCCAUCAGGAAAGACAUCACUCACAGAAGAAGCACCGGCUAACUCCGUGCCAGCAGCCGCGGUAAUACGGAGGGUGCGAGCGUUAAUCGGAAUUACUGGGCGUAAAGCGCGCGUAGGUGGCUUGAUAAGCCGGUUGUGAAAGCCCCGGGCUCAACCUGGGAACGACAUCCGGAACUGUCAAGCUAGAGUGCAGGAGAGGAAGGUAGAAUUCCCGGUGUAGCGGUGAAAUGCGUAGAGAUCGGGAGGAAUACCAGUGGCGAAGGCGGCCUUCUGGACUGACACUGACACUGAGGUGCGAAAGCGUGGGUAGCAAACAGGAUUAGAUACCCGUGUAGUC
This 465-nucleotide ribosomal RNA is filed under the name Vreelandella stevensii. Its description in RNAcentral is "partial 16S ribosomal RNA". It matches the Rfam family "Bacterial small subunit ribosomal RNA", at positions 338 to 795 of the family's 1533-position model. Lineage: Bacteria; Pseudomonadati; Pseudomonadota; Gammaproteobacteria; Oceanospirillales; Halomonadaceae. The record is from RNAcentral.